Molecule: ribosomal RNA, 425 nt
Filed under: uncultured bacterium
Lineage: Bacteria
Description: bacterial SSU rRNA
Rfam family: Bacterial small subunit ribosomal RNA
Source: RNAcentral
GGAAUCUUCGGCAAUGGGGGCAACCCUGACCGAGCAACGCCGCGUGAGUGAAGAAGGUUUUCGGAUCGUAAAGCUCUGUUGUAAGAGAAGAACGUGUGUGAGAGUGGAAAGUUCACACAGUGACGGUAACUUACCAGAAAGGGACGGCUAACUACGUGCCAGCAGCCGCGGUAAUACGUAGGUCCCGAGCGUUAUCCGGAUUUAUUGGGCGUAAAGCGAGCGCAGGCGGUUUUUUAAGUCUGAUGUGAAAGCCUUCGGCUUAACCGGAGAAGUGCAUCGGAAACUAGGAGACUUGAGUGCAGAAGAGGACAGUGGAACUCCAUGUGUAGCGGUGGAAUGCGUAGAUAUAUGGAAGAACACCAGUGGCGAAGGCGGCUGUCUAGUCUGUAACUGACGCUGAGGCUCGAAAGCAUGGGUAGCGAACA